Molecule: ribosomal RNA, 253 nt
Filed under: Coprobacter fastidiosus NSB1 = JCM 33896
Lineage: Bacteria; Pseudomonadati; Bacteroidota; Bacteroidia; Bacteroidales; Barnesiellaceae
Description: Coprobacter fastidiosus NSB1 partial 16S ribosomal RNA
Rfam family: Bacterial small subunit ribosomal RNA
Source: RNAcentral
UACGGAAGAUGCGAGCGUUAUCCGGAUUUAUUGGGUUUAAAGGGUGCGUAGGCGGAAGAAUAAGUCAGCGGUGAAAUACUUCAGCUCAACUGGAGAAUUGCCGAUGAAACUGUUUUUCUAGAGUAUAAAAGAGGUAUGCGGAAUGCGUGGUGUAGCGGUGAAAUGCAUAGAUAUCACGCAGAACCCCGAUUGCGAAGGCAGCAUACUGGGCUAUAACUGACGCUGAAGCACGAAAGCGUGGGUAUCGAACAGG